CUCUGAGCGUAGUACGGUCUGGAGUGGUAAUCGGAGUGAUUGGUGACGCCUUUGGAAGCGACAGUCUCAUUCAACAUGUAGAGAGUCCUCUUCUGAUCGCACGGAUAAUGAUAGAGGAAGAUUGACGAACUGAGUCGAGAACCACGCCAGACGCAGCAUAAGCCAGAACAGCAGCUCCCAGACGUAUUGCAACGGCUCCAUCAGGCUAUUGGCGGAAUUGUCGAUUCGCUGAAACAAUUUGCAUCCAUUCGUUACAAUCGCAUUCUUCCAUGAGAUCGGAAAUGAGCUGGUUUCCGUUCUACAGUUCGCACGCACGUACGGCCCAAUUAGUUCAGCAUCUUGUAAACCUGAUGUAAUAUUGGUGUACGAUACUACACAAUAACAGAAAAUAUUCCAUACACGGGGGGGCUGAUGAGUUGCAAUUACCAAUUUCUCAAUUUCUCAAUAGCAAUGUCUUCCGCAACAAGCGGAAUCUUUUUUCAGGAUAUAACCCAGUAGGAUAUAACACUGAU
Long non-coding RNA from Harpegnathos saltator (Jerdon's jumping ant), 512 nucleotides. RefSeq lists it as uncharacterized. The record is from RefSeq and is a predicted model, not a curated record. NCBI's taxonomy places the organism in Eukaryota, Metazoa, Arthropoda, Insecta, Hymenoptera, Formicidae. The transcript has 3 exons.